GAUGAACGCUGGCGGCGUGCCUAAUACAUGCAAGUCGAGCGAACGGACGAGAAGCUUGCUUCUCUGAUGUUAGCGGCGGACGGGUGAGUAACACGUGGAUAACCUACCUAUAAGACUGGGAUAACUUCGGGAAACCGGAGCUAAUACCGGAUAAUAUUUUGAACCGCAUGGUUCAAAAGUGAAAGACGGUCUUGCUGUCACUUAUAGAUGGAUCCGCGCUGCAUUAGCUAGUUGGUAAGGUAACGGCUUACCAAGGCAACGAUGCAUAGCCGACCUGAGAGGGUGAUCGGCCACACUAGAACUGAGACACGGUCCAGACUCCUACGGGAGGCAGCAGUAGGGAAUCUGCCGCAAUGGGCGAAAGCCUGACGGAGCAACGCCGCGUGAGUGAUGAAGGUCUUCGGAUCGUAAAACUCUGUUAUUAGGGAAGAACAUAUGUGUAAGUAACUGUGCACAUCUUGACGGUACCUAAUCAGAAAGCCACGGCUAACUACGUG
RNAcentral lists this ribosomal RNA (497 nucleotides) under uncultured bacterium. RNAcentral describes it as "partial 16S ribosomal RNA". It matches the Rfam family "Bacterial small subunit ribosomal RNA", at positions 28 to 507 of the family's 1533-position model. The record is from RNAcentral.